AAUUGACGGGGCCCGCACAAGCGGUGGAGCAUGUGGUUUAAUCGAAGCAACGCGAAGAACCUUACCAGGUCUUGACAUCCCGAUGCUAUUUCUAGAGAUAGAAAGUUACUUCGGUACAUCGGUGACAGGUGGUGCAUGGUUGUCGUCAGCUCGUGUCGUGAGAUGUUGGGUUAAGUCCCGCAACGAGCGCAACCCCUAUUGUUAGUUGCCAUCAUUCAGUUGGGCACUCUAGCGAGACUGCCGGUAAUAAACCGGAGGAAGUGGGGAUGACGUCAAAUCAUCAUGCCCCUUAUGACCUGGGCUACACACGUGCUACAAUGGUUGGUACAACGAGUUGCGAGUCGGUGACGGCGAGCUAAUCUCUUAAAGCCAAUCUCAGUUCGGAUUGUAGGCUGCAACUCGCCUACAUGAAGUCGGAAUCGCUAGUAAUCGCGGAUCAGCACGCCGCGGUGAAUACGUUCCCGGGCCUU
RNAcentral lists this ribosomal RNA (470 nucleotides) under uncultured Streptococcus sp. Its description in RNAcentral is "bacterial SSU rRNA". It matches the Rfam family "Bacterial small subunit ribosomal RNA", at positions 908 to 1382 of the family's 1533-position model. Lineage: Bacteria; Bacillati; Bacillota; Bacilli; Lactobacillales; Streptococcaceae. The record is from RNAcentral.